UAAUACAUAGGGGGCAAGCGUUAUCCGGAAUUAUUGGGCGUAAAGGGUGCGUAGGCGGCUAUUUAAGUCUUUGGUGUAAGUGCAGUGCUCAACGCCGUGAUGCUAAAGAAACUGGAUAGCUUGAGUGAGGUAGAGGCAAGUGGAAUUCCAUGUGUAGCGGUAAAAUGCGUAAAUAUAUGGAGGAACACCAGUGGCGAAGGCGGCUUGCUGGGCCUUAACUGACGCUGAGGCACGAAAGCGUGGGGAGCAAACAGGAUUAGAUACCCUGGUAGUCCUCGCCGUAAACGAUGAGUACUAAGUGUUGGAGAAAUUCAGUGCUGUAGUUAACGCAAUAAGUACUCCGCCUGAGUAGUACGUACGCAAGUAUG
Molecule: ribosomal RNA, 368 nt
Filed under: uncultured bacterium
Lineage: Bacteria
Description: bacterial SSU rRNA
Rfam family: Bacterial small subunit ribosomal RNA
Source: RNAcentral